AACGUACGCUGGCGGCACGCCUAACACAUGCAAGUCGAACGAAGUAGCAAUACUUAGUGGCAGACGGGUGAGUAACAUGUGGGUAUCUGCCCUUUGGCCUGGAAUAACACGAGGAAACUUGUGCUAAUACCGGAUAAGUCUUUACGGAGAAAGCUUUAUGCACCAUUGGAUGAGCCCGCACUUGAUUAGUUAGUUGGUAGGGUAAUGGCCUACCAAGACUGUGAUCAAUAGCUGAUUUGAGAGGAUGAUCAGCCACAUUGGGACUGAGACGCGGCCCAGACUCCUACGGGAGGCAGCAGUGGGGAAUUUUCCGCAAUGGGCGAAAGCCUGACGGAGCAACGCCGCGUGCGGGAGGAAGGUUUUAGGACUGUAAACCGCUUUUCUCAGGGAAGAAGUACUGACGGUACCUGAGGAAUAAGCAUCGGCUAAUUCCGUGCCAGCAGCCGCGGUAAUACGGGAGAUGCAAGCGUUAUCCGGAAUUAUUGGGCGUAAAGCGUUCGUAGGCGGCUAAUCAAGUCUGCUGUUAAAUACCGCAGCUUAACUGCGGAAUGGCAGUGGAAACUGAAGAGCUAGAGUGUGGUAGGGGUAAGGGGAAUUCCCAGUGUAGCGGUGAAAUGCGUAGAUAUUGGGAAGAACACCAGCGGCGAAAGCGCCUUACUGGGCCACAACUGACGCUGAGGGACGAAAGCUAGGGGAGCGAAAGGGAUUAGAUACCCCUGUAGUCCUAGCCGUAAACGAUGGACACUAGGUGUUGUCUGUAUCGACCCGGACAGUGCCGUAGCUAACGCGUUAAGUGUCCCGCCUGGGGAGUACGCACGCAAGUGUG
Molecule: ribosomal RNA, 826 nt
Filed under: uncultured bacterium
Lineage: Bacteria
Description: bacterial SSU rRNA
Rfam family: Bacterial small subunit ribosomal RNA
Source: RNAcentral